This 455-nucleotide long non-coding RNA is filed under the name Brassica napus (rape). RNAcentral describes it as "long non-coding RNA (BNAP_LNC022224)". Lineage: Eukaryota; Viridiplantae; Streptophyta; Magnoliopsida; Brassicales; Brassicaceae. The record is from RNAcentral.
CGCAUGCGUGUUGAUGCACCGGUAACGCCGAUGGCGGGUUUCAGAUUCGGUGAAGCUUCCUGUUAGUAACCAAAAGAGUUGUUACAGACUGGCUUCUUCUACGGAAAGGUACUCAAGAAAUAGUAUCAAUGGCGAUGUAGAUCAAAUAUGAGAGAAAGACAAUUCACUUUCUACAUAGUUACUAAACGAAUUACUUUAAGAAACUAUGUGUAUCUCUAAGCGCCACAAUUUGUGAGAGGUAAAUAUUAUAAUUUAAUUUACCUUUUGCUUACCGGUUGCAUCAGAGGAUAAAAAAACUUUAUUAUAGAAAAGACACACAGUGUAUAGGUAUAAUAAAACAAUUAGCUAUAGAUUGAAUUAUUAAAUUUUUGAACAUCACGCAAUGCAAUUUUCCUUUAUUUUAUCGUUUUUAGUAGCACAAAAUUCAAAAUUUCAAUCUUUGCUCGAUCACUCAU